Molecule: ribosomal RNA, 465 nt
Filed under: uncultured bacterium
Lineage: Bacteria
Description: partial 16S ribosomal RNA
Rfam family: Bacterial small subunit ribosomal RNA
Source: RNAcentral
CCUACGUGAGGCAGCAGUGGGGAAUAUUGCGCAAUGGGCGAAAGCCUGACGCAGCGACGCCGCGUGAGGGAUGAAGGUCUUCGGAUCGUAAACCUCUGUCAGCAGGGAAGAACGGUCACUGUGCUAAUCAGCAGUGAAUUGACGGUACCUGCAAAGGCAGCACCGGCUAACUCCGUGCCAGCAGCCGCGGUAAUACGGAGGGUGCGAGCGUUAAUCGGAAUUACUGGGCGUAAAGCGCUCGUAGGCGGUAUGUCAAGUCAAGGGUGAAAUCCCCGCGCUCAACGUGGGAACUGCCUUUGAAACUGGCAAACUGGAGUGUGUGAGAGGAUAGUGGAAUUCCAGGUGUAGGAGUGAAAUCCGUAGAUAUCUGGAGGAACAUCAGUGGCGAAGGCGACUAUCUGGCACAUAACUGACGCUGAGGAGCGAAAGCAUGGGUAGCAAACAGGAUUAGAUACCCCAGUAGUC